AGCGAACGCUGGCGGCAGGCCUAACACAUGCAAGUCGAACGAACUCUUCGGAGUUAGUGGCGGACGGGUGAGUAACACGUGGGAACGUGCCUUUAGGCUUGGAAAAAUUCAGGGACAUUUGGGCUAAUACAGAGUGUGCCCUUCGGGGGAAAGAUUUAGCGCCUUUAGUGCGGCCCGCGACCGAUUAGCUAGUUGGGGAGGUAAAGACUCACCAAGGCGACGAUCAGUAGCUGGUCUGAGAGGAUGAUCAGCCACAUUGGGACUGAGACACGGCCCAAACUCCUACGGGAGGCAGCAGUGGGGAAUCUUGCGCAAUGGGCGAAAGCCUGACGCAGCCAUGCCGCGUGAAUGAUGAAGGUCUUAGGAUUGUAAAAUUCUUUCACCGGGGACGAUAAUGACGGUACCCGGAGAAGAAGCCCCGGCUAACUUCGUG
Molecule: ribosomal RNA, 433 nt
Filed under: uncultured bacterium
Lineage: Bacteria
Description: partial 16S ribosomal RNA
Rfam family: Bacterial small subunit ribosomal RNA
Source: RNAcentral